GUUAAUAAUUAUUAUUAGAACUGGAAAUUUGGCAAAAUUCGGCUGCGGAAACAGUUCACACACGACUCUUGGGUCUUGCCACCUGCCAACAAAUUCUCUAUCCAACUAUCUUUUCUCAGGGCAUUUAAUUUUUCCUUCAAAUAAUUUAUUUUUUACCUUUCAGGUGGUACCCUGAGGACCGCGAGCAAUUCCUGCCGGUUCUCCCUGCUGAUCUUUUAAGAAUCUAAAAGGUUCGUCUGGAGGAUCGCGGAAAAUAUUUGUGCUGGGUGAAAAAUUCGGCUGGCGAGGAGACGCGUUGCAGGUGGCGCUGACAGGGUCGACCCACGUCCAGCCUCAGCGCCAGGUCGUCGACGUCGGAAAGGCGGCCGCGUUCAGACACGUGACUAGCUGUUGCGUGAGGAGCUCGCUGACCUGUCGAGGGUUGACCCUGAUCGGCAGAAGCAGGAAGCAGCCUUUGGGCCCUCCGAUCCGGCUCGACAGACGGCUCCUCAGACAGACCUCCGGUCCGGCGGCCGCCUCGGCGAGACAUUCGCGCAGCACGCGUUUUUUGCUUCGCUUCUUUUGAAUUAUGUUGAAAAAACCCUGAGCGGAUGUUGAACAAAUUGCGAAAAGUUUCACUGGAAUCGAUCUCAGGGUGCGGUAACCUGUCAAAAGUCCUGUGUUUAAAACAUUUUUGGCUAUUUCUUAAAAUUAUUUUUAAAAUCUGUGUUUAAUAUUUUAAUCGCACGCGUAAUUAAAUUUUAGAUAAUUUUCUAGUUAAUAAUGCAAGUUUGUCAUGUUUCAAGGAAGGAAAUCACAAAUUACAGCUAAAAAUCCGGUUGUUAAAUUGAUCAAUACAAAUAAAUACACGUGUAUUAAAGAAUUUA
Molecule: long non-coding RNA, 866 nt
Organism: Cloeon dipterum
Lineage: Eukaryota; Metazoa; Arthropoda; Insecta; Ephemeroptera; Baetidae
Exons: 3
Source: RefSeq, a predicted model, not a curated record